UACGUAGGGGGCAAGCGUUAUCCGGAAUUACUGGGUGUAAAGGGAGCGUAGACGGUAAAGCAAGUCUGGAGUGAAAGGCUGGGGCCCAACCCCGGGACUGCUCUGGAAACUGUUAAACUGGAGUGCAGGAGAGGCAGGCGGAAUUCCUAGUGUAGCGGUGAAAUGCGUAGAUAUUAGGAGGAACACCAGUGGCGAAGGCGGCCUGCUGGACUGUAACUGACGUUGAGGCUCGAAAGCGUGGGGAGCAA
RNAcentral lists this ribosomal RNA (248 nucleotides) under uncultured Lachnospiraceae bacterium. RNAcentral's name for it is "partial 16S ribosomal RNA". It matches the Rfam family "Bacterial small subunit ribosomal RNA", at positions 524 to 771 of the family's 1533-position model. The record is from RNAcentral. Lineage: Bacteria; Bacillati; Bacillota; Clostridia; Lachnospirales; Lachnospiraceae.